AGCAGCCGCGGUAAUUCCAGCUCCAAUAGCGUAUAUUAAAGUUGCUGCAGUUAAAAAGCUCGUAGUUGAAUUUCGGGACCAUCAUGUCGGUCGUGCCUCGGUACGUACUGGUAUUGUUGGUUUCUCCCUUCUGACGAACCAUGAUGUCAUUUAUUUGGUGUCGUGGGGAAUCAGGACUGUUACUUUGAAAAAAUUAGAGUGUUUAAAGCAGGCUCACGCUUGAAUACAUUAGCACGGAAUAAUGAAAUAGGACGUUUGAUUCUAUUUUGUUGGUUUCUAGGAUCGACGUAAUGAUUAAUAGGGAUAGUUGGGGGCAUUAGUAUUCAAUUGUCAGAGGUGAAAUUCUUGGAUUUAUUGAAGACUAACUACUGCGAAAGCAUUUGCCAAGGAUGUUUUCAUUAAUCAAGAACGAAAGUUAGGGGAUCGAAGACGAUCAGAUACCGUCGUAGUCUUAACCAUAAACUAUGCCGACUAGGGAUCGGAUGAUGUUAAUUUUUUAAUGUACUCAUUCGGCGCCUUA
RNAcentral lists this ribosomal RNA (520 nucleotides) under uncultured Glomeromycotina. Its description in RNAcentral is "SSU rRNA". It matches the Rfam family "Eukaryotic small subunit ribosomal RNA", at positions 569 to 1090 of the family's 1831-position model. Lineage: Eukaryota; Fungi; Glomeromycota. The record is from RNAcentral.